This is a long non-coding RNA of Salvia miltiorrhiza (redroot sage), 527 nucleotides long. RefSeq lists it as uncharacterized. Lineage: Eukaryota; Viridiplantae; Streptophyta; Magnoliopsida; Lamiales; Lamiaceae. The record is from RefSeq and is a predicted model, not a curated record. The transcript has 3 exons.
CUUAAUAUAGCUGGUUGAUCCGAGCUUCCAUUUUCUAUCCUCCACAAUCAUCCCACAUAUUUCAUCUCCCUCAUCAAUUUUCAGCACAUCAGCUACUGAACAAAUUCAGAAGAUUUGCAGAAUGAUAACCCAACAGAUUUCUUUUGAAGGCUUUGUGGACCAAGGGGAUUAGCGCUGCUUUCCCAAGACGAGUUUAUGUAAUUAUGAUCUUCAGGCUUUGCCUAUCCAGGUUGAGCAGUUGAUGGAAUGGAAUGAUGUUGAGCGGGUGUUCCUUUGACAUUUCAAGAAAUGUAACCUUGAGUAUACAUCUUCAUAUGUAUAUCUCACACGUUUUCCGCUGCAAAACACUUUGAUUAGGAUAACUUUAUGUUAUGAAGUUGUGACACGUGUUAUUGGGUAACCCACCUUAAUCAGUUCUCCUUUAUGUGUAUGUGUUAUAAGUAUCCAAAUGAUCAUAUAUGAUCCUAGCUUUUUAUCUAUGAGUGACAUUUCCAUAUACUUUAAUGUUAAGUAAUUGUCCAUUUCCA